AGUCAGAGGCGAUGAAGGACGUACUAACUUGCGAUAAGCGCAGAUAAGGCAGUAAGAGCCGUUUGAGUCUGCGAUUUCCGAAUGGGGAAACCCAACUGCAUAAGCAGUUACUGUUAACUGAAUACAUAGGUUAACAGAGCAAACCGGGGGAACUGAAACAUCUAAGUACCCCGAGGAGAAGAAAUCAACCGAGAUUCCGGUAGUAGCGGCGAGCGAACCUGGAUUAGCCCUUAAGCACUCGGUGAAGUAGGUGAACAAGCUGGAAAGCUUGGCGAUACAGGGUGAUAGCCCCGUAACCGACGCUUCAUCGAGCGUGAAAUCGAGUAGGGCGGGACACGUGAUAUCCUGUCUGAAUAUGGGGGGACCAUCCUCCAAGGCUAAAUACUCCUGACUGACCGAUAGUGAACCAGUACCGUGAGGGAAAGGCGAAAAGAACCCCUGUGAGGGGAGUGAAAUAGAACCUGAAACCGUGUACGUACAAGCAGUAGGAGCACCUUCGUGGUGUGACUGCGUACCUUUUGUAUAAUGGGUCAGCGACUUAUAUUCAGUGGCAAGGUUAACCGUAUAGGGGAGCCGUAGCGAAAGCGAGUCUUAACUGGGCGCUCAGUCUCUGGAUAUAGACCCGAAACCGGGUGAUCUAGCCAUGGGCAGGUUGAAGGUUGAGUAACAUCAACUGGAGGACCGAACCGACUAAUGUUGAAAAAUUAGCGGAUGACUUGUGGCUAGGGGUGAAAGGCCAAUCAAACUCGGAGAUAGCUGGUUCUCCCCGAAAGCUAUUUAGGUAGCGCCUCGGACGAAUACUACUGGGGGUAGAGCACUGUUAAGGCUAGGGGGUCAUCCCGACUUACCAACCCUUAGCAAACUCCGAAUACCAGUAAGUACUAUCCGGGAGACACACGGCGGGUGCUAACGUCCGUCGUGGAGAGGGAAACAACCCAGACCGCCAGCUAAGGUCCCAAAGUAUUGCUAAGUGGGAAACGAUGUGGGAAGGCUCAGACAGCUAGGAUGUUGGCUUAGAAGCAGCCAUCAUUUAAAGAAAGCGUAAUAGCUCACUAGUCGAGUCGGCCUGCGCGGAAGAUGUAACGGGGCUAAGCAAUACACCGAAGCUGCGGCAAUAUCUUUUAGAUAUUGGGUAGGGGAGCGUUCUGUAAGCCGUUGAAGGUGAAUCGUAAGGUUUGCUGGAGGUAUCAGAAGUGCGAAUGCUGACAUGAGUAACGACAAAGGGGGUGAAAAACCUCCUCGCCGGAAGACCAAGGGUUCCUGUCCAACGUUAAUCGGGGCAGGGUGAGUCGACCCCUAAGGUGAGGCCGAAAGGCGUAAUCGAUGGGAAACGGGUUAAUAUUCCCGUAUUCUGACUAUUGCGAUGGGGGGACGGAGAAGGCUAGGUGGGCCAGGCGACGGUUGUCCUGGUUCAAGUGCGUAGGCUUGAGAGUUAGGUAAAUCCGGCUCUCUCUAAGGCUGAGACACGACGUCGAGCUGCUACGGCAGUGAAGUCAUUGAUGCCAUGCUUCCAGGAAAAGCCUCUAAGCUUCAGAUAGUCAGGAAUCGUACCCCAAACCGACACAGGUGGUCGGGUAGAGAAUACCAAGGCGCUUGAGAGAACUCGGGUGAAGGAACUAGGCAAAAUGGUACCGUAACUUCGGGAGAAGGUACGCUCUUGAUGGUGAAGUCCCUCGCGGAUGGAGCUGACGAGAGUCGCAGAUACCAGGUGGCUGCAACUGUUUAUUAAAAACACAGCACUGUGCAAAAUCGCAAGAUGACGUAUACGGUGUGACGCCUGCCCGGUGCCGGAAGGUUAAUUGAUGGGGUUAGCGCAAGCGAAGCUCUUGAUCGAAGCCCCGGUAAACGGCGGCCGUAACUAUAACGGUCCUAAGGUAGCGAAAUUCCUUGUCGGGUAAGUUCCGACCUGCACGAAUGGCGUAAUGAUGGCCACGCUGUCUCCACCCGAGACUCAGUGAAAUUGAAAUCGCUGUGAAGAUGCAGUGUACCCGCGGCUAGACGGAAAGACCCCGUGAACCUUUACUACAGCUUGGCACUGAACAUUGAACCUACAUGUGUAGGAUAGGUGGGAGGCUAUGAAGACGUGACGCCAGUUGCGUUGGAGCCGUCCUUGAAAUACCACCCUUGUAUGUUUGAUGUUCUAACUUAGACCCAUUAUCUGGGUUGAGGACAGUGCCUGGUGGGUAGUUUGACUGGGGCGGUCUCCUCCCAAAGAGUAACGGAGGAGCACGAAGGUGGGCUAAUCACGGUUGGACAUCGUGAGGUUAGUGCAAUGGCAUAAGCCCGCUUAACUGCGAGAAUGACGGUUCGAGCAGGUGCGAAAGCAGGUCAUAGUGAUCCGGUGGUUCUGUAUGGAAGGGCCAUCGCUCAACGGAUAAAAGGUACUCCGGGGAUAACAGGCUGAUACCGCCCAAGAGUUCAUAUCGACGGCGGUGUUUGGCACCUCGAUGUCGGCUCAUCACAUCCUGGGGCUGAAGUCGGUCCCAAGGGUAUGGCUGUUCGCCAUUUAAAGUGGUACGCGAGCUGGGUUUAGAACGUCGUGAGACAGUUCGGUCCCUAUCUGCCGUGGGCGUUGGAAGAUUGAAGGGGGCUGCUCCUAGUACGAGAGGACCGGAGUGGACGAACCUCUGGUGUUCGGGUUGUGUCGCCAGACGCAUUGCCCGGUAGCUAAGUUCGGAAUUGAUAAGCGCUGAAAGCAUCUAAGCGCGAAGCGAGCCCUGAGAUGAGUCUUCCCUGACAGUUUAACUGUUCUAAAGGGUUGUUCGAGACUAGAACGUUGAUAGGCAGGGUGUGUAAGCGUUGUGAGGCGUUGAGCUAACCUGUACUAAUUGCCCGUGAGGCUUAACCA
This 2848-nucleotide ribosomal RNA is filed under the name Vibrio cholerae HC-43B1. RNAcentral's name for it is "bacterial LSU rRNA". It matches the Rfam family "Bacterial large subunit ribosomal RNA". The record is from RNAcentral. Lineage: Bacteria; Pseudomonadati; Pseudomonadota; Gammaproteobacteria; Vibrionales; Vibrionaceae.